RNAcentral lists this microRNA precursor (241 nucleotides) under Arabidopsis thaliana (thale cress). RNAcentral's name for it is "microRNA MIR854". It matches the Rfam family "MIR854 microRNA precursor family", at positions 1 to 196 of the family's 221-position model. RNAcentral also lists the same sequence under 1 other name. Lineage: Eukaryota; Viridiplantae; Streptophyta; Magnoliopsida; Brassicales; Brassicaceae. The record is from RNAcentral.
UGGAUGAAGACAGAGCAGUGGAGUUUGACACUAGCAUGUAUCAUUUUGAUGAACAUGUACCUCCAGCGAGGGAGAGUAAGAGCUUGAGUGAGGCUCAUAGGAACAACAAUAAGCUGCAGAGGUGGUGCAAGAAGCAGGACACGCUGCUCGCCAAGUGUUUCAAGACUAUCAAGUUUCUGACAAAGGUUUUGGGAUUUGUAAAGAAAAGAAAGAGUUCUUGUUAGCUAUUGAAGAUGGGCAA